Molecule: ribosomal RNA, 253 nt
Filed under: uncultured bacterium
Lineage: Bacteria
Description: partial 16S ribosomal RNA
Rfam family: Bacterial small subunit ribosomal RNA
Source: RNAcentral
UACGUAGGGCGCGAGCGUUGUCCGGAAUUAUUGGGCGUAAAGAGCUCGUAGGCAGCCUGUUGCGUCCGCUGUGAAAUCCCGGGGCUCAACCCUGGGCGUGCAGUGGAUACGGGCAGGCUGGAGGCAGGCAGGGGAGAACGGAAUUCCCGGUGUAGCGGUGAAAUGCGCAGAUAUCAGGAAGAACACCCGUGGCGAAAGCGGCUCUCUGGAACGGUACUGACGCUGAGACGCGAAAGCGUGGGGAGCGAACAGG